CCUACGGGGGGCAGCAGUGAGGAAUAUUGGUCAAUGGCCGUAAGGCUGAACCAGCCAAGUAGCGUGAGGGAAGACUGCCCUAUGGGUUGUAAACCUCUUUUAUGCGGGGAUAAAGGUGUCCACGUGUGGAUGUUUGCAGGUACCGCAUGAAUAAGGACCGGCUAAUUCCGUGCCAGCAGCCGCGGUAAUACGGAAGGUCCGGGCGUUAUCCGGGUUGGUUGGGUUUAAAGGGAGCGUAGGCCGGUCUUUAAGCGUGCCGGGAAAUUUUGUGGCUCAACCAUGAGAGUGCGGCGCGAACUGGAGACCUUUAGCGCGCGGAAGGCAGGCGGAAUUCGUGGUGUAGCGGUGAAAUGCUUAGAUAGCACGAAGAACCCCGAUUGCGAAGGCAGCCUGCCGCAGCGUUACUGACGCUGAAGCUCGAAAGCGCGGGUAUCGAACAGGAUUAGAUACCCGGGUAGUC
Molecule: ribosomal RNA, 460 nt
Filed under: uncultured bacterium
Lineage: Bacteria
Description: partial 16S ribosomal RNA
Rfam family: Bacterial small subunit ribosomal RNA
Source: RNAcentral